Molecule: ribosomal RNA, 444 nt
Filed under: Triticum aestivum (bread wheat)
Lineage: Eukaryota; Viridiplantae; Streptophyta; Magnoliopsida; Poales; Poaceae
Description: partial small subunit ribosomal RNA
Source: RNAcentral
AUGCCAGCUCUUCUUCCCCGCGACAUCGCUGACUCCAUCCCAUUCUCCACCGAGCACCUCUCAGACAUCAUCACGAUGUUCGCGCCGGCGUCCCUCACGAUGACCAGAGAGAUACGGUGGACGAUGGAGACCUGCGAGCACCCACGGACGCUGCCCGGCCAGAAAGCAGGCUGCGCCACCUCCCUCGAGUCCCUCGCUGAGCUUCCGGCGUCCCUCCUUGGGAGGAGCAAUGUCCGCGCGUUCUCCGCCGUGGAUCUGCCCAUGGAUGACCCGGGAAAACCUGCGCUUAGGGGGAGGUACAAGGUGACGGCUGCACGGAAGCUCUCCGGGUCAUCAUCUGAGGUCGUAACCUGCCAUGACCUGACCUUCCCGUACGCGGUGUACUACUGCCACACGUCCAGCCCUACGGCUGCGUACAUGGUGACGCUGGCGAGCGUGGAAUAG